RNAcentral lists this ribosomal RNA (657 nucleotides) under uncultured Lachnospiraceae bacterium. RNAcentral's name for it is "bacterial SSU rRNA". It matches the Rfam family "Bacterial small subunit ribosomal RNA", at positions 69 to 738 of the family's 1533-position model. The record is from RNAcentral. Lineage: Bacteria; Bacillati; Bacillota; Clostridia; Lachnospirales; Lachnospiraceae.
GGAAGUUUUCGGAUGGAAGUUAAAUUGACUGAGCGGCGGACGGGUGAGUAACGCGUGGGUAACCUGCCUCAUACAGGGGGAUAACAGUUAGAAAUGACUGCUAAUACCGCAUAAGCGCACAGCAUCGCAUGAUGCAGUGUGAAAAACUCCGGUGGCAUGAGAUGGACCCGCGUCUGAUUAGCUAGUUGGUGAGGUAAAGGCCCACCAAGGCGACGAUCAGUAGCCGACCUGAGAGGGUGAUCGGCCACAUUGGGACUGAGACACGGCCCAAACUCCUACGGGAGGCAGCAGUGGGGAAUAUUGCACAAUGGGGGAAACCCUGAUGCAGCAACGCCGCGUGAGUGAAGAAGUAUUUCGGUAUGUAAAGCUCUAUCAGCAGGGAAGAAAAUGACGGUACCUGACUAAGAAGCCCCGGCUAACUACGUGCCAGCAGCCGCGGUAAUACGUAGGGGGCAAGCGUUAUCCGGAUUUACUGGGUGUAAAGGGAGCGUAGACGGCGAAGCAAGUCUGAAGUGAAAGCCCGGGGCUUAACCCCGGGACUGCUUUGGAAACUGUUUUGCUAGAGUGCUGGAGAGGUAAGUGGAAUUCCUAGUGUAGCGGUGAAAUGCGUAGAUAUUAGGAGGAACACCAGUGGCGAAGGCGGCUUACUGGACAGUA